This 1063-nucleotide long non-coding RNA is filed under the name Brassica napus (rape). RNAcentral's name for it is "long non-coding RNA (BNAP_LNC009342)". The record is from RNAcentral. Lineage: Eukaryota; Viridiplantae; Streptophyta; Magnoliopsida; Brassicales; Brassicaceae.
GUAUGGAUAAUGUGAAGGUUUAGAAGAUUGUCAAUAAAAGGAAAUUUGGAUACAGAGUCCUAAUAGACCAGGAUAUGAUAUUUUGUGUGAAAGAGAUACUAUGAACCAUAAGUCCAAUGGUCUAAGAGGUUAUCUGACAAUCAAACGAGUUUAUCACUAAGGAUAUGCUUAUACCAAAUUCUUUAAAAAAAGCUAUGUAUGAUGAGAAUACAUCUCCCGAAGAUGAUGCUUCAAGGGGGAGAAUAUGAUGAUGUCUGUGAUUGUAAUCUUUUUCCUUAUCAUUAGUUUUGUCCCAAUGGGUUUUCCAUGUAAAGGUUUUAACGAGGCAAAAAAGAACACGCAUAUGAUAGAUACUUAAAGAGGAAUGUUAUCACUUAAGUGACGAAAAUCUAUCAAUCUUCCAAUUUAUUUUGAGAUUGAGAGAAGAUGAAGAGAAUGGUCAAGAUCAAUCAUACUUGAAGAAGAAUCAAGAGAUGAACGCAUUCCAUUCGUGUAGCAGAAUCAAAGGUCGAAAGUUUGCCGAUCAAAGGAAACCUUAUAGAUGGAAUUAAAAUAUGAAAUUGGUGUCCAUAGAAAGAUCUUUGAGUCUACUUUCAUCUCGAAUUUGAAUCAAGUCAUUCCAAAUGAUAAAAUUUGAUAUGGCUGUUUUCAUGGGACAUGUACAAGCUUUCUCAAAAUACCUAAUUCCGACUGGUAUCCCAAAUAUCGCUUCUUAUUUCCAUCUUACCAGAGCUAUAGACCGGCGAAUAAAGUUAGAAAUGGAUGUUAGCUUCGAUUUCCAAGUGGUUUGAAGUCAUUUUAUCCUACGAUUAUCAAGAUAUUCAAGUUUCAGUGAGGAUUAUCAAGUCUGCCAAGAGAAGUGGACCGAUCCAAGACCAAGACUAAGAAGAAGUCAGUUCAUUAGAUGGGAUUGUAUUGUCUUGUAUAUCUCAAGUUAUGUUUUCAUCAGGGGUAGUAGAUGCGCGUUGCACUCUUUUUUCCUUAACCAUGAUUUUUCCCACUGGGUUUUUGGUAAGAUUUUUAAUGAGGCAGCAUCUUAUGCGCUUUAGGAAUAUUUAUGUAU